Molecule: transfer RNA, 71 nt
Filed under: Thermoleophilia bacterium
Lineage: Bacteria; Bacillati; Actinomycetota; Thermoleophilia
Also listed under: 2 other names
Description: tRNA-Cys
Rfam family: tRNA
About the family: Transfer RNA (tRNA) molecules are approximately 80 nucleotides in length. Their secondary structure includes four short double-helical elements and three loops (D, anti-codon, and T loops).
Source: RNAcentral
GGCGACGUGGCCGAGUGGCUAGGCAGCGGCCUGCAAAGCCGUCCACACCAGUUCGAUUCUGGUCGUCGCCU